Molecule: ribosomal RNA, 450 nt
Filed under: uncultured bacterium
Lineage: Bacteria
Description: partial 16S ribosomal RNA
Rfam family: Bacterial small subunit ribosomal RNA
Source: RNAcentral
GUGGGGAAUUUUGGACAAUGGGCGCAAGCCUGAUCCAGCAAUGCCGCGUGCAGGAAGAAGGCCUUCGGGUUGUAAACUGCUUUUGUACGGAACGAAACGGUCCUGGUUAAUACCUGGGGCUAAUGACGGUACCGUAAGAAUAAGCACCGGCUAACUACGUGCCAGCAGCCGCGGUAAUACGUAGGGUGCAAGCGUUAAUCGGAAUUACUGGGCGUAAAGCGUGCGCAGGCGGUUUUGUAAGACAGGCGUGAAAUCCCCGGGCUCAACCUGGGAAUUGCGCUUGUGACUGGAAGGCUGGAGUGCGGCAGAGGGGGAUGGAAUUCCGCGUGUAGCAGUGAAAUGCGUAGAUAUGCGGAGGAACACCGAUGGCGAAGGCAAUCCCCUGGGCCUGCACUGACGCUCAUGCACGAAAGCGUGGGGAGCAAACAGGAUUAGAAACCCCGGUAGUCC